This 468-nucleotide ribosomal RNA is filed under the name uncultured Glomus. RNAcentral describes it as "SSU rRNA". It matches the Rfam family "Eukaryotic small subunit ribosomal RNA", at positions 583 to 1056 of the family's 1831-position model. The record is from RNAcentral. Lineage: Eukaryota; Fungi; Glomeromycota; Glomeromycetes; Glomerales; Glomeraceae.
UUCCAGUCCAAUAGCGUAUAUUAAAGUUGUUGCAGUUAAAAAGCUCGUAGUUGAAUUUCGGGGUUAGUAGGUUGGUCAUGCCUCCGGUAUGUACUGAUCUCACUGAUUCCUCCUUCCUUAUGAACCGUAAUGCCAUUAAUUUGGUGUUGCGGGGAAUUUGGACUGUUACUUUGAAAAAAUUAGAGUGUUUAAAGCAGGCUAACGCUUGAAUACAUUAGCAUGGAAUAAUGAAAUAGGACGUUCGAUCUUAUUUUGUUGGUUUCUAGGAUUGACGUAAUGAUUAAUAGGGAUAGUUGGGGGCAUUAGUAUUCAAUUGUCAGAGGUGAAAUUCUUGGAUUUAUUGAAGACUAACUACUGCGAAAGCAUUUGCCAAGGAUGUUUUCAUUAAUCAAGAACGAAAGUUAGGGGAUCGAAGACGAUCAGAUACCGUCGUAGUCUUAACCAUAAACUAUGCCGACUAGGGAUCGG